Molecule: long non-coding RNA, 357 nt
Filed under: Populus trichocarpa (black cottonwood)
Lineage: Eukaryota; Viridiplantae; Streptophyta; Magnoliopsida; Malpighiales; Salicaceae
Description: long non-coding RNA (PTRI_LNC001621)
Source: RNAcentral
GGACUCCACUUCGCCGGGGGGCAAGGGGUGCUUGUAAUUGCUUUCUGUCAAGCCAUACUAAUGGUAACCACUCUAGCAAGCAGCACUUCGAUCUCACCUUGCUUCCUUCUCUUUUAAUUUCAUGAUAAAGAUACCUGUGAUGCAUAACUUUUCUGGGCUCAGGCUUGCAAAAUGAGUGAUGGAUUGUAAAUGUAUUGGAAUCUAAAUUCUUUGGUGAACAGGUUGGGCCGGAGUAUGCAAGAUACUGUGGAAUUGAGGCUUUGGAACCUCUGGGAAUUUAUUUGCCAGGAGAUAUCAAUUACCCUGGGGGAAUCCUCUUCGAUCCCUUGAACCUCUCCAAAGACCCUGUAUCUUUUG